AGACCAAGAAUGCUUGAUGAACAAACGAUGAACUAAAAUUUCAUUUGGAGGUUAUGCCAUGACAUAAAUGCAUUAAAUUAGGAAGAUUUGUAUUGGAUGAAUUACCCAGAUAGCAAUUAAAACAACUUCUGUUGAUAAGAACAUUUGAUUUGUGGAAUCCAGAUACUGUGAAUGUACAUGUAAUUGAUUGACAAGUACACAUUUGACAAGGUGGUGAGAAACGUGUAGAUCUGGCCUGCUUACAGUGGCUAUUGGAUUGGACAGAACCAAAGUGAGAGUUAACGUGUGAAUUUAUGGAGAACAUUAAACUAUUUUAC
This is a long non-coding RNA of Ostrinia furnacalis (Asian corn borer), 317 nucleotides long. RefSeq lists it as uncharacterized. The transcript is spliced from 3 exons. The record is from RefSeq and is a predicted model, not a curated record. NCBI's taxonomy places the organism in Eukaryota, Metazoa, Arthropoda, Insecta, Lepidoptera, Crambidae.